This 46-nucleotide ribosomal RNA is filed under the name Stagonosporopsis ligulicola. RNAcentral's name for it is "partial 18S ribosomal RNA". It matches the Rfam family "Eukaryotic small subunit ribosomal RNA", at positions 1787 to 1831 of the family's 1831-position model. The record is from RNAcentral. Lineage: Eukaryota; Fungi; Ascomycota; Dothideomycetes; Pleosporales; Didymellaceae.
AGCGUAACAAGGUUUCCGUAGGUGAACCUGCGGAAGGAUCAUUACC